This is a long non-coding RNA of Juglans microcarpa x Juglans regia, 184 nucleotides long. RefSeq lists it as uncharacterized. The record is from RefSeq and is a predicted model, not a curated record. NCBI's taxonomy places the organism in Eukaryota, Viridiplantae, Streptophyta, Magnoliopsida, Fagales, Juglandaceae. The transcript has 2 exons.
UUACUGUUGUAUAGCUAUUGAAUUUAUUGGAUAAAAGUAUACUUUUCUUGCAGCAUGGAGGUUUUCCUCCAGAACAUACAUUACAUUAUCUCACGCGUGCCUCAUAUGGAAGGCUUAGAUGAAAAAUCUGAUUACGAGAUGUGGAGCAGAUCAGGAAACGAUAGUAAGGAGCUAUCUGGGAAUU